This 159-nucleotide ribosomal RNA is filed under the name Hypogymnia hultenii. RNAcentral's name for it is "5.8S ribosomal RNA". It matches the Rfam family "5.8S ribosomal RNA". Rfam says of the family: 5.8S ribosomal RNA (5.8S rRNA) is a component of the large subunit of the eukaryotic ribosome. It is transcribed by RNA polymerase I as part of the 45S precursor that also contains 18S and 28S rRNA. Lineage: Eukaryota; Fungi; Ascomycota; Lecanoromycetes; Lecanorales; Parmeliaceae. The record is from RNAcentral.
AAAACUUUCAACAACGGAUCUCUUGGUUCCAGCAUCGAUGAAGAACGCAGCGAAAUGCGAUAAGUAAUGUGAAUUGCAGAAUUCAGCGAAUCAUCGAAUCUUUGAACGCACAUUGCGCCCCUCGGUAUUCCGGGGGGCAUGCCUGUUCGAGCGUCAUUA